Molecule: long non-coding RNA, 641 nt
Organism: Mesocricetus auratus (golden hamster)
Lineage: Eukaryota; Metazoa; Chordata; Mammalia; Rodentia; Cricetidae
Exons: 3
Source: RefSeq, a predicted model, not a curated record
CACUGAAAACACUGUACAACUAUCAUGUCUGAUAUUCAACCAGGUGCUUCAAGGAUUAAGUUUCUUGACCAAGACUAUCCAGCUAAUAAUUAAACUGCAAGCUCAGGGAUUAUACUUUGUUUUAUACAGUUCCAUGAAGUUAAUGAACUCAUAACUACAUUCUACCUACGUGGAUUUUUUGACUAAUACGUACAGUUAAAAGAGAAGCUACGUGAAGUUACGAGGAAGCCGAGACCUGCAUUUGUUCAUUAUGGCUCUGUACUUUGGAAUCUCUCGGGGUGAAUACUUUGGGGAGCCUGAAGAACUCCAUUAGUGUGACUCUCUUAAGUCAGCUCUACUGGUUAGUGAAGUCCCUGACCCUGCACAUCGUGGCACAUGAAGACACACGCUUCUUGAACAGCUUGUCAUUUGCCUACGAAAAUGGAAGCGAAAUACAGCAACAUUGAAGCUUCCUUGAAUUUGCAGUCACGAUUUCCAAGACAACUGUAGAUGUAAGGUGGAUUAUAUUAACAGCUCCUAAUCCAGGCAGUGCUCUUGCAUGCACACUACAGCCGCUGGCUUUCUGCUUUCUCAUAUCUACAGUGAACUACGAAAAACCCUGGUGGGGGGAAUAAGGUGAAAUUUCCAGGACUCAAAAACAG